UGCAGAGGUCUCAAGCGUUGUUCGGAUUCAUUGGGCGUAAAGGGUGCGUAGGCGGCGCGGUAAGUCGGGUGUGAAAUCUUGGAGCUUAACUCCGAAACUGCAUUCGAUACUGCCGUGCUUGAGGACUGGAGAGGAGACUGGAAUUUACGGUGUAGCGGUGAAAUGCGUAGAUAUCGUAAGGAAGACCAGUGGCGAAGGCGGGUCUCUGGACAGUUCCUGACGCUGAGACACGAAGGCCAGGGGAGCAAACGAG
RNAcentral lists this ribosomal RNA (253 nucleotides) under uncultured bacterium. RNAcentral's name for it is "partial 16S ribosomal RNA". It matches the Rfam family "Bacterial small subunit ribosomal RNA", at positions 524 to 776 of the family's 1533-position model. The record is from RNAcentral.